Molecule: ribosomal RNA, 836 nt
Filed under: uncultured bacterium
Lineage: Bacteria
Description: bacterial SSU rRNA
Rfam family: Bacterial small subunit ribosomal RNA
Source: RNAcentral
ACGCGAAGAGGUCUUCGGAUCUCUCUAGAGUGGCGCACGGGUGAGUAACGCGUAGAUAAUCUACCCCCAUAUUUGGGAUAACAGCUCGAAAGGGCUGCUAAUACCGGAUACACUUAUUUGAACGCGAGUUUGAGUGAGGAAAGGUGACCUCUCCAUGGAAGUUACUGUAUAGGGAUGAGUCUGCGUACCAUUAGCUAGUAGGUAGGGUAAAGGCCUACCUAGGCGACGAUGGUUAGCGGGUCUGAGAGGAUGAUCCGCCACACUGGAACUGGAACACGGACCAGACUCCUACGGGAGGCAGCAGUGAGGAAUAUUGCGCAAUGGGGGAAACCCUGACGCAGCGACGCCGCGUGGGUGAUGAAGGCCUUCGGGUUGUAAAGCCCUGUCAGGUGGGAAGAAGUGCAUAAUGGCUAAUAUCCAUUAUGUUUGACGGUACCACCAAAGGAAGCACCGGCUAACUCCGUGCCAGCAGCCGCGGUAAUACGGAGGGUGCAAGCGUUGUUCGGAUUUACUGGGCGUAAAGGGCGCGUAGGCGGUUGUAUAAGCCAUAUGUGAAAGCCCACGGCUUAACCGUGGAAGUGCAUGUGGAACUGUACGACUUGAGUAUGGGAGAGGAAAGUGGAAUUCCCGGUGUAGAGGUGAAAUUCGUAGAUAUCGGGAGGAAUACCGGUGGCGAACGCGACUUUCUGGACCAAUACUGACGCUGAGCGCGAAAGCGUGGGUAGCAAACAGGAUUAGAUACCCUGGUAGUCCACAGCUGUAAACGAUGAUAACUAGGUAUAGGGGGUGUUGACCCCUUCUGUGCCGUAGCUAACGCAUUAAAGUUAUCCGCCUGG